Molecule: long non-coding RNA, 1006 nt
Organism: Micropterus dolomieu (smallmouth bass)
Lineage: Eukaryota; Metazoa; Chordata; Actinopteri; Centrarchiformes; Centrarchidae
Exons: 2
Source: RefSeq, a predicted model, not a curated record
GGAGGUAAAACUUAGCUAUUACCCAGCAAGCGAUAGCCGUCAUUUCACCGUCUAAGUUUACUAUAGACCUGAUUUAGUACGGCUAUGAGUAACCCACUUCUAGCUGCAAUAACUUUACAUGUGGUUACAUGCCGUUUUUGCCAAAAUAACUUAAAAUGUGUAUGAUAUUCCAUCAUUUAAGCAAGGUCUACAGUGAUUACAAGGUUUUUUUGUUUCAUUUCAUACAUUUAUGUGCAGCCUGUGCGUAGACACGAUUUAGCUCGUAGACAGACCGGCUAUUUGUAGCCCACUUUAAGUCAAAAAAGUAACAAAUGAUUAAAAGUGGGUCUUUGCCCUGGUAGCAUGUGUUUCAGACCAAAUAGGUUACAUGUAGUUUUCACCCAUGGCAUUUCAUCAAAUGCAAGUAAACGUUUGAAACAUUUAAAUUAUCUUUAUUUUCGCUGUAACGUUCCUUGCAUUAACUUUAAUUUUCAUUUUAAACUAAAUGCAAUUACUAUUUUCAACCGCUAGAUGGCAGCUGUAGCCCUACUGACACAUGACUACUAGCAACGCGAGACUUGAAAGAUAGACAUCAGGGACGGCCAUAUCUCGCGAUAAAGACAUCCGCCUUUUUUAAACGAGGGAUACGUUACGAUUUCGGCCCUUCAGCGAGGAACGGGCUAGAGUUUACUGCAAACACUGGAAGCGAAAAGACAUUUACUUUGGUCUUUUAUGCAUCCCAUUUACCUGGGAGACUGGCGCCAACUGAGAGACCCAUCUGAUGCUCUUCCUGCAUCAAGUAGCAGCGUAGAUGAAGAUCUAGAUUUGGAUGUAGCCAACCAAUUUAUUUUAUCAUUAUUUGUGUUUUUAUUACCGUAUGUUGUUAAAAUUGUUUGUAUUUUCAUAUAUAUGAACUGUUUUGUAUUUAUAAUAUUUUAGCAAUAAUUCCUUUAUAUUUUCAUCAUGCUGUAUUAUCUUAAGUUGUCUAUAUUGUAAUCCAUUUUCUUAAUAAAAUCUUUAUAUUUAA